This 488-nucleotide ribosomal RNA is filed under the name uncultured Propionibacterium sp. RNAcentral's name for it is "partial 16S ribosomal RNA". Lineage: Bacteria; Bacillati; Actinomycetota; Actinomycetes; Propionibacteriales; Propionibacteriaceae. The record is from RNAcentral.
UACGUAGUUAGCCGGUGCUUCUUUACCCAUUACCGUCACUCACGCUUCGUCACAGGCGAAAGCGGUUUACAACCCGAAGGCCGUCAUCCCGCACGCGGCGUUGCUGCAUCAGGCUUCCGCCCAUUGUGCAAUAUUCCCCACUGCUGCCUCCCGUAGGAGUCUGGGCCGUAUCUCAGUCCCAAUGUGGCCGGUCACCCUCUCAGGCCGGCUACCCGUCAAAGCCUUGGUAAGCCACUACCCCACCAACAAGCUGAUAAGCCGCGAGUCCAUCCCCAACCGCCGAAACUUUCCAACCCCCACCAUGCAGCAGGAGCUCCUAUCCGGUAUUAGCCCCAGUUUCCUGAAGUUAUCCCAAAGUCAAGGGCAGGUUACUCACGUGUUACUCACCCGUUCGCCACUCGAGCACCCCACAAAAGCAGGGCCUUUCCGUUCGACUUGCAUGUGUUAAGCACGCCGCCAGCGUUCGUCCUGAGCCAGGAUCAAACUCU